GAUGAAGAACGUAGCGAAAUGCGAUAAGUAGUGUGAAUUGCAGAAUUCAGUGAAUCAUCGAAUCUUUGAACGCACAUUGCGCCCUUUGGUAUUCCAAAGGGCAUGCCUGUUCGAGCGUCAUUUGUACCCUCAAGCUUUGCUUGGUGUUGGGCGUCUUGUCUCCAGUCCGCUGGAGACUCGCCUUAAAGUCAUUGGCAGCCGGCCUACUGGUUUCGGAGCGCAGCACAAGUCGCACUCUUUUCCAGCCAAGGUCAGUGUCCAACAAGCCUUUUUUCAACUUUUGACCUCGGAUCAGGUAGGGAUACCCGCUGAACUUAAGCAUAUCAAUAAGCGGAGGA
This 338-nucleotide unclassified non-coding RNA is filed under the name soil metagenome. RNAcentral's name for it is "partial contains 5.8S ribosomal RNA, internal transcribed spacer 2, and large subunit ribosomal RNA". The stretch from base 1 to 120 matches the Rfam family "5.8S ribosomal RNA", at positions 35 to 154 of the family's 154-position model. The record is from RNAcentral.